UACGUAGGUCCCGAGCGUUGUCCGGAUUUAUUGGGUGUAAAGGGAGCGUAGGCGGUUCAGCAAGUCAGAAGUGAAAGCCCGGGGCUCAACUCCGGGACUGCUUUUGAAACUGUUGAACUAGAUUGCAGGAGAGGUAAGUGGAAUUCCUAGUGUAGCGGUGAAAUGCGUAGAUAUUAGGAGGAACACCAGUGGCGAAGGCGGCUUACUGGACUGUAAAUGACGCUGAGGCUCGAAAGCGUGGGGAGCAAACAGG
Molecule: ribosomal RNA, 253 nt
Filed under: uncultured bacterium
Lineage: Bacteria
Description: partial 16S ribosomal RNA
Rfam family: Bacterial small subunit ribosomal RNA
Source: RNAcentral